RNAcentral lists this non-coding RNA (779 nucleotides) under Pachymantis bicingulata. Lineage: Eukaryota; Metazoa; Arthropoda; Insecta; Mantodea; Hymenopodidae. The record is from RNAcentral.
UUGAAAUGUUUAUUUUAAUAUUAAUCUAUAUGUAAAUCAUUGUAUAAUUUUAUUUCUUAAGGAAAUAAGAUAAUGAUAAAUUAUUGCAGUGGAUAAUUUUAUAAAUAUUAAGUUAAUUUAGAUUUAGUAAAUAUUAUUAGGUUUAGAUAAAGUUGUGCCAGCAUCUGCGGUUAGACAAUAAAAUCAAGUAAAUAUUAUUAGUUUUUAAGUAAUUAAUAUAAUAUAAUAAAUAGGAAUUAAAAUAUUUUUAGGUGAAAUAUUAAAUUAUUUUAAAUAAUAUUAAUUUAUUAGUAUGAUUAAUUAUGAAAGUGAAAUUAUAAACUAGGAUUAGAUACCCUAUUAUUUUUAUUGUAAAGGAAGUUAAACUGGAGUAUUAAUAGUUAUGAUCUUAAAACUUAAAGAAUUUGGCGGUAUUAUAAUCUAUUUAGAGGAAUCUGUUAUGUAAUUGAUAUUCCACAUUGAACCUUACUUAAAUUAUUUCUUGUAUAUCGCUGUUUAAGAAUAUAUUUAAAGAUAAUUUUCUAAAUAUGUAAUUAAUUAGAAUUUCAAGUCAAGGUGCAGUAAUAUUUAAGUUGAAUAAUGGAUUACAAUAAAUUUUAUUUAUAAUGGAUUAAUUAUUGAAAUGUAAUAAUGAAAUUGGAUUUAAUAGUAAUUUUAUAAAGAUUAUUAAAAUGAUUUUAGUUCUAUAAUAUGUACAUAUCGCCCGUCACUCUCAUUAUAAAAUGAGAUAAGUCGUAACAGAGUAGGUGUAUCGGAAGAUGUACCUAGAAAGGAAAAUA